This is a non-coding RNA of Misgurnus anguillicaudatus (oriental weatherfish), 2807 nucleotides long. NCBI's taxonomy places the organism in Eukaryota, Metazoa, Chordata, Actinopteri, Cypriniformes, Cobitidae. The record is from RefSeq and is a predicted model, not a curated record.
CUAAAAAAAAAAGGUUCCUUGAGGUUCUAUAUAGAACCGUUGGGUUCUAUACUUGGCCAAUAGAACCUUUUACCAAAAAAAGGGUUCCAUAUAGAACCCUUGGAAGGCAAAGAACCAUUUUUAUUAAAAUGGUUCUAUAAUUCACGUUUUCUGACUGAAGUGUAAACUAAAGAUUACACAAUAAUUGCAGACCUACACAACUCAUUUACAAACCUACACAACUCAUUCACAAACCUUUUUGUGUCAAUUGGCUGUGGUCAAAAAAAGAGAGAGUCAACAAAUAGGUUAUUAAUAUUUAGUGUAUGAUUUAUUUCCUGUGAGCUUUUUUAUGCAAGUUUGUACAUUAGCAUGAAACUUACAGUGCAGUUUGCGUUUCUGGUGAAUUAUCAGGUGUUUUCUUUAUUUUGUACAUUCUAUAAUGUCAAUGUUUGUUUAAUUUAACCUGAAGGGGCAUUAAAAACAAAUAAUCGCAAAAGUGCCCUCUGGUGGCGUAUAUAUGCGUUGCACCAGAAGAUGAGCCUCGUGACGUGACAGUUUUUUUUCAAACUGAGGUGAGGAGUUCGGACUCCGGACCGGCAUUUCUGCUUGUUUGUACCCUGUCCCUGAGAUAACCAUGGUUAUUAAAUGGUCAGACACGUCACUGGCUUUAAAAUAUAAACCCCAUUGAUGCAAAAAGAUGCUGCAUGGAAUGACAAUGAGGUUUGGAACAGACUUGGUGAAGAACAUGGAAACAUCUCUAAAUAAAAUGGCCCCAAACAUCAUCAGGAGUGCAAAAGAAGGAAGUAAAAACAUCUCUACGCCAAUCUCAUUGGAGAGGAAACCACAGAAGGUCUGGUGAGGAAUGCUGCACUUAUGUUAUUGUCAGCAUUAUUUCAAGAAAAUCCCAGCUUCCUUGACUGUGUAAAUUGUGAACCCAAAGGUCCCACACCAACCAUAGUGUUCAACGGCUCUCCUGAUCUUCUCAAAUCUGAAAGUAUCAACUUUAUAAUGGACAAUGUGAACUUAAUAUGUGGAAGACAUUGACAUCACAGGCUGUGGAAUGACUGUGUCACAGGUCGGAGAAGCGGACCGCCCCUGUCGCGGAUCACGCUCCUCCUAGUUCCACCUCGAGGAGGUCCCAAAGCACCCCAAUGACCAGACAAACCAGAGAUAAGUAAAAUAUAAAAAUAGAAACAUUAUUUAAAUUAUUUAAAACUAAAGUGGGGAAUGGGAAAGGGAAUCUAAAAAUCUCGCUUCUCGCCCUCAGGGGGAGUAUUACGGGGCCAGGGACGUUGGAGGGGUUUCCACGUGACUCCACCUCGAACACCGCUACAGAGCGUAUCUGGGUGGGUUGGGCACACACCGUCGCGGCGGCCCCUGAUUGUAUCCACAAUGGUCCAAGACCCUCCUAAGCUCCCAGCCGUAGCAGAACUACGUAUUUCAGCACCCGAACGACUAACAACCCAGCCGGCAUCUGCAGCGUAUAUCCAACGCGAUCAAACUUCACUCUGACAAGUAACUUCCUAUACACAACCACGCCGUCCUUUCGCCCGGACCAGCCCCGCACUCUUUCCGCCCGCUACCUAGCGGUCGCCGGAUCAGCAGAGCCUGCGGACUCUUCGGAGGCUGGUCUUCGUUGUGCUGCCCAAGGCGGAAGUUUACUUCCAGUAACUUCUAUCUUCUCUCUUUAUAUCCUCCUCCAUGGCGUGGCUCGCCCAACCAUCGCUCGCCACGUCACUCACACAGCUGUGCCUUGUUUCAGCGAGUGCGGGGAUUCCCGGGGAACCCGGAAGUGCCGGUGUCUGUACAAACCGGUCCGGGCGGAACCUCUUCACUCUCCUUUUGGUUCCGCCCCGCAUAGUCACUCCGUGACAACUGUUUGCGUUUUUUUUUCUCCUCAAUGUUCAAUACCCUUUUGCCAUUAAGCACACAGUGACUUUAAUUUAUAAAAUAUAUGCUUAAGUUUUAAUACCUGUACAAAACAAAUGUACAAUCAACUUGUGUAAAUUGUCAUUCUAUUUUAUAGAUUGUUCAUGAAUUGUCUUUAAAUGCAUUGUGAUUUCGGUAACACUUUACAAUAAGGUUCAUUAGUUAACAUUAGUUAAUGUAUUAACUAACUUGAACAAACCAUAAGCAAUACAUUUGUUACAGUAUUUAUCCAUCUUUGUUAAUGUUAGUUAAUUCAAAUUUAAGCUUUAAUUGCUUGUUCAUGUUAGUUCAGAGUGCAUUAACUAAUGUUAACAAGAUUUUAAUAAAGUAUAAGUAAUUGUUGAAAUUAACAUUAACAAAGAUUAAUAAAUGCUGUAUAAGUGCAGUUCAUUAUUAGUUCAUGUUAACUAAUGUAGCUAACUAAUGUUAACUAAUGAACCUUAUUGUAAAGUGUUACCGUGAUUUCUUUUCAUCAUUUCAGACACAUGUAAGUUACUAAAAAUUAGUACUGCAUAUACUGUACAGUAUCUAUGCGUAAGGGAAAUAACUUGAACAAAAUUUUUAAUGUAUAGUGUAAUUAAGAGUUUAGCUGUUUAAUACAGAGAUGCAAUUUAUUUAUAUAUAUAUAUAUAUAUAUAUAUAUAUAUAUAUAUAUAUAUAUAUAUAUAUAUAUAUAUAUAUAAUUUAUGUAUAAACGUAUGUAUGUUUAUUAAAAAGUGAAAAUGCUUAAUGGAAAUAAUUAAAUAACUAAAUGGUUGAAUGUAAUGAGACAUUUUAAAUGUAAACUAAAGUUUUGCUGUCUAAUACAGAAUAAAGAGAUGUGAUUUUAAGUAAUUUUUAUAGAUUUAUAUUUCUGUAUAAUAAAAUUAAUAAAUAAUAAACUUUUAUAAUUUUCUGGA